This 1372-nucleotide ribosomal RNA is filed under the name uncultured bacterium. Its description in RNAcentral is "bacterial SSU rRNA". It matches the Rfam family "Bacterial small subunit ribosomal RNA", at positions 28 to 1381 of the family's 1533-position model. The record is from RNAcentral.
GAUGAACGCUGGCGGCGUGCCUAAUACAUGCAAGUCGAGCGAACGGACGAGAAGCUUGCUUCUCUGAUGUUAGCGGCGGACGGGUGAGUAACACGUGGAUAACCUACCUAUAAGACUGGGAUAACUUCGGGAAACCGGAGCUAAUACCGGAUAAUAUUUUGAACCGCAUGGUUCAAAAGUGAAAGACGGUCUUGCUGUCACUUAUAGAUGGAUCCGCGCUGCAUUAGCUAGUUGGUAAGGUAACGGCUUACCAAGGCAACGAUGCAUAGCCGACCUGAGAGGGUGAUCGGCCACACUGGAACUGAGACACGGUCCAGACUCCUACGGGAGGCAGCAGUAGGGAAUCUUCCGCAAUGGGCGAAAGCCUGACGGAGCAACGCCGCGUGAGUGAUGAAGGUCUUCGGAUCGUAAAACUCUGUUAUUAGGGAAGAACAUAUGUGUAAGUAACUGUGCACAUCUUGACGGUACCUAAUCAGAAAGCCACGGCUAACUACGUGCCAGCAGCCGCGGUAAUACGUAGGUGGCAAGCGUUAUCCGGAAUUAUUGGGCGUAAAGCGCGCGUAGGCGGUUUUUUAAGUCUGAUGUGAAAGCCCACGGCUCAACCGUGGAGGGUCAUUGGAAACUGGAAAACUUGAGUGCAGAAGAGGAAAGUGGAAUUCCAUGUGUAGCGGUGAAAUGCGCAGAGAUAUGGAGGAACACCAGUGGCGAAGGCGACUUUCUGGUCUGUAACUGACGCUGAUGUGCGAAAGCGUGGGGAUCAAACAGGAUUAGAUACCCUGGUAGUCCACGCCGUAAACGAUGAGUGCUAAGUGUUAGGGGGUUUCCGCCCCUUAGUGCUGCAGCUAACGCAUUAAGCACUCCGCCUGGGGAGUACGACCGCAAGGUUGAAACUCAAAGGAAUUGACGGGGACCCGCACAAGCGGUGGAGCAUGUGGUUUAAUUCGAAGCAACGCGAAGAACCUUACCAAAUCUUGACAUCCUUUGACAACUCUAGAGAUAGAGCCUUCCCCUUCGGGGGACAAAGUGACAGAUGGUGCAUGGUUGUCGUCAGCUCGUGUCGUGAGAUGUUGGGUUAAGUCCCGCAACGAGCGCAACCCUUAAGCUUAGUUGCCAUCAUUAAGUUGGGCACUCUAAGUUGACUGCCGGUGACAAACCGGAGGAAGGUGGGGAUGACGUCAAAUCAUCAUGCCCCUUAUGAUUUGGGCUACACACGUGCUACAAUGGACAAUACAAAGGGCAGCGAAACCGCGAGGUCAAGCAAAUCCCAUAAAGUUGUUCUCAGUUCGGAUUGUAGUCUGCAACUCGACUACAUGAAGCUGGAAUCGCUAGUAAUCGUAGAUCAGCAUGCUACGGUGAAUACGUUCCCGGGUCU